ACGUAGGUGGCAAGCGUUGUCCGGAUUUACUGGGCGUAAAGAGCGCGCAGGCGGCCGAGUAAGUCAAAUGUGAAAGCCCCCGGCUCAACUGGGGAAGGUCAUUCGAUACUGUUCGGCUUGAAGAUAGGAGAGGGAAGCGGAAUUUCAGGUGUAGUGGUGAAAUGCGUAGAUAUCUGAAGGAACACCAGUGGCGAAGGCGGCUUUCUGGCCUAUUCUUGACGCUGAGGCGCGAAAGCUAGGGGAGCGAACGGGA
This 253-nucleotide ribosomal RNA is filed under the name uncultured prokaryote. Its description in RNAcentral is "partial 16S ribosomal RNA". It matches the Rfam family "Bacterial small subunit ribosomal RNA", at positions 525 to 777 of the family's 1533-position model. The record is from RNAcentral.